RNAcentral lists this small nucleolar RNA (76 nucleotides) under Zalophus californianus (California sea lion). RNAcentral describes it as "Small nucleolar RNA SNORD115 (ENSZCAG00015020054.1)". It matches the Rfam family "Small nucleolar RNA SNORD115". Rfam says of the family: HBII-52 is a member of the C/D class of snoRNAs, which contain the C (UGAUGA) and D (CUGA) box motifs. HBII-52 is encoded in a tandemly repeated array with another C/D snoRNA, HBII-85, in the Prader-Willi syndrome (PWS) region of chromosome 15. The record is from RNAcentral. Lineage: Eukaryota; Metazoa; Chordata; Mammalia; Carnivora; Otariidae.
GGAUAUAUAUGUGAAGAGUGUCUUGAGGAGAUGUAAUGUUGUAAAAACUAUGCUCAGUAGUAUUAUGCUAAGGCCC